UACAGAGGUGGCUAGCGUUGUUCGGAAUUACUGGGCGUAAAGGGCGCGUAGGCGGCUUGGUCAGUCCCGUGUGAAAUCCCUCGGCUCAACUGAGGAACUGCACGGGAAACUGCCUGGCUUGAGUUCGGGAGAGGGAAGCGGAAUUCCGGGUGUAGCGGUGAAAUGCGUAGAUAUCCGGAGGAACACCGGUGGCGAAGGCGGCUUCCUGGACCGACACUGACGCUGAGGCGCGAAAGCUAGGGGAGCAAACAGG
This 253-nucleotide ribosomal RNA is filed under the name uncultured bacterium. RNAcentral's name for it is "partial 16S ribosomal RNA". It matches the Rfam family "Bacterial small subunit ribosomal RNA", at positions 524 to 776 of the family's 1533-position model. The record is from RNAcentral.